CCAUGCCUUUUAUGUCGUCUUUGUUCCAUGAUCCCUUGUAUUCUCCCGUCGAAACACUUGCACUUGCCUCGAAUGUGCAUGUUUUUUCUUCAACGAUGUCCCAUACAUCUCGGAACAUCAAAAUGCAUUUAGUUGUAGUUGUUAGCUCGGGCUCUGGCUCUGGCUCUCGUAGGCUCUGGCUCUGGCUCCGGCUUUAGUUUUGGCUCUGGCUCCGGCUCUGGCUCUCUUGGCUCUCGCUCGGGCUCUGGCCUUCUUAGUUGAGGAUGGUGAGGACAAACGCCCAUAACCAUCCGAUGUGCAUAUCUCUGGCUUCACGAUCCUUGACACCUGGCUCAGUUACGAACCUAGGUGCAAUUGGCUUUGAUACCAUGUUA
This 374-nucleotide long non-coding RNA is filed under the name Eucalyptus grandis. RNAcentral describes it as "long non-coding RNA (EGRA_LNC000531)". The record is from RNAcentral. Lineage: Eukaryota; Viridiplantae; Streptophyta; Magnoliopsida; Myrtales; Myrtaceae.